GUGGCUUUGGCAGCACCUAUACCAAAAUUGGAAUGAUACAGAGAAAAUUGGCCCUGCCCCUGCAUAAGGAUGACACAGAAUUUUGUGAAGCAUUCCAUAUUUUU
Sorex fumeus (smoky shrew) is the source of this 104-nucleotide small nuclear RNA. The record is from RefSeq and is a predicted model, not a curated record. Lineage: Eukaryota; Metazoa; Chordata; Mammalia; Eulipotyphla; Soricidae.